RNAcentral lists this ribosomal RNA (402 nucleotides) under Bacteroidota bacterium. Its description in RNAcentral is "Bacteroidetes bacterium partial 16S ribosomal RNA". It matches the Rfam family "Bacterial small subunit ribosomal RNA", at positions 355 to 776 of the family's 1533-position model. Lineage: Bacteria; Pseudomonadati; Bacteroidota. The record is from RNAcentral.
UGGGGAAUUUUGCACAAUGGGGGAAACCCUGAUGCAGCGACGCCGCGUGAUUUAGAAGGCCUUCGGGUUGUAAAAAUCUUUUCUAUGGGAAGAAAAUGACAGUACCAUAGGAAUAAGGACCGGCUAAUUACGUGCCAGCAGCCGCGGUAAUACGUAAGGUCCGAGCGUUGUCCGGAAUCAUUGGGCGUAAAGGGUACGUAGGCGGGUAAGCAAGUUAGAAGUGAAAUCCUGUAGCUCAACUACAGUAAGCUUUUAAAACUGCUCAUCUUGAGAUAUGGAAGGGAAAGAGGAAUUCCUAGUGUAGCGGUGAAAUGCGCAGAUAUUAGGAGGAAUACCGGUGGCGAAGGCGACUUUCUGGCCAUAAUCUGACGCUGGGGUACGAAAGCGUGGGUAGCAAACAGG